This 446-nucleotide ribosomal RNA is filed under the name uncultured bacterium. RNAcentral's name for it is "bacterial SSU rRNA". It matches the Rfam family "Bacterial small subunit ribosomal RNA", at positions 329 to 792 of the family's 1533-position model. The record is from RNAcentral.
AUCCAGACUCCUACGGGAGGCAGCAGUGGGGAAUAUUGCACAAUGGGGGAAACCCUGAUGCAGCGACGCCGCGUGAGCGAUGAAGUAUUUCGGUAUGUAAAGCUCUAUCAGCAGGGAAGAAGAUGACGGUACCUGACUAAGAAGCCCCGGCUAACUACGUGCCAGCAGCCGCGGUAAUACGUAGGGGGCAAGCGUUAUCCGGAUUUACUGGGUGUAAAGGGAGCGUAGACGGCGAUGCAAGCCAGAUGUGAAAGCCCGGGGCUCAACCCCGGGACUGCAUUUGGAACUGUGUGGCUGGAGUGUCGGAGAGGCAGGCGGAAUUCCUAGUGUAGCGGUGAAAUGCGUAGAUAUUAGGAGGAACACCAGUGGCGAAGGCGGCCUGCUGGACGAUGACUGACGUUGAGGCUCGAAAGCGUGGGGAGCAAACAGGAUUAGAUACCCCGGUA